UGCAUGUCUCAGUACUUGCUUUUACAAGGCGAAACCGCGAAUGGCUCAUUAAAUCAGUUAUGGUUCACUAGAUCGUACAGUUUACAUGGAUAACUGUGGUAAUUCUAGAGCUAAUACAUGCACUCAGCUCGCUUCUUCGGGAGCGAGCGCAGUUAUUAGAAUAAAACCAAUCCGGCCUUCGGGUCGGUAAAAUUGGUGACUCUGAAUAACCGAAGCGGAGCGCAUGGUCUCGUACCGGCGCCAGAUCUUUCAAGUGUCUGACUUAUCAGCUCGUAGUUAGGUUACGUUCCUAACUAGGCUAUUACGGGUAACGGGGUGUCAGGGCCCGACACCGGAGAGGGAGCCUGAGAAACGGCUACCACAUCCAAGGAAGGCAGCAGGCGCGCAAAUUACCCACUCCCGGCACGGGGAGGUAGUGACGAAAAAUAACGAUGCGAGAGCUUUUAGCUCCUCGUAAUCGGAAUGGGUACACUUUAAAUCCUUUAACGAGGAUCUAUUGGAGGGCAAGUCUGGUGCCAGCAGCCGCGGUAAUUCCAGCUCCAAUAGCGUAUAUUAAAGUUGCUGCGGUUAAAAAGCUCGUAGUUGGAUCUGGGUAGUCGAUGAGCGGUGCGCUUUACGGCGUAACUGUUCGUUCGGCACCACAAGCCGGUUAUGUCUUGCAUGCUCUUCACUGAGUGUGCUUGGCGACCGGAACGUUUACUUUGAAAAAAUUAGAGUGCUCAAAGCAGGCGUAUGGCCUUGCAUAAUGGUGCAUGGAAUAAUAGAAUAGGACCUCGGUUCUAUUUUGUUGGUUUUCGGAGCUCGAGGUAAUGAUUAAUAGGAACAGACGGGGGCAUUCGUAUUGCGGCGUUAGAGGUGAAAUUCUUGGAUCGUCGCAAGACGCACUA
Molecule: ribosomal RNA, 887 nt
Filed under: Hebesuncus ryani
Lineage: Eukaryota; Metazoa; Tardigrada; Eutardigrada; Parachela; Ramazzottiidae
Description: SSU rRNA
Rfam family: Eukaryotic small subunit ribosomal RNA
Source: RNAcentral